Molecule: ribosomal RNA, 347 nt
Filed under: Dolichovespula intermedia
Lineage: Eukaryota; Metazoa; Arthropoda; Insecta; Hymenoptera; Vespidae
Description: partial small subunit ribosomal RNA
Source: RNAcentral
GUUAAAUUAAAAUAAAUUAAUAGAAGAUAUUAAAUGUUAUAUCAUUAAAUUUAAAAGAUUUGGCGGUACUUGAAAAUUAGAGGAACCUGUAUAGUAAUUGAUAAUCCACGAUAAGAAUUACUUAAAAUAAAAUUUAUGUAUUGCUGUUUUCAAUAUUUAAUUAAUUUAGAUAUAUAUAAUUAAUAAUUAUUAAAAAAUUCAAGUCAAAAUAUAGUUUUUUUAAGAUUAAUAUGGGUUACAUUUAAUUUAAUUAAAUAAAUUGAAUUAAAAAUUUUAAAAUUUUUAUGAAAAUGGAUUUAAAAGUAAAUUUAAUAAAUUAAUUAAUUUGAAAAAAAAGUUAAGUAUGU